This 144-nucleotide ribosomal RNA is filed under the name Araucaria rulei. RNAcentral's name for it is "partial 26S ribosomal RNA". It matches the Rfam family "Eukaryotic large subunit ribosomal RNA", at positions 1 to 141 of the family's 3401-position model. Lineage: Eukaryota; Viridiplantae; Streptophyta; Pinopsida; Araucariales; Araucariaceae. The record is from RNAcentral.
UCGCGCCCCCAGGUCAGGCGAGAACACCCGCUGAGUUUAAGCAUAUCACUAAGCGGAGGAAAAGAAACUUACAAGGAUUCCCCUAGUAACGGCGAGCGAACCGGGAUCAGCCCAGCAUGAAAAUCGGGCGGCANUGCCNUUCGA